AGAUACGCGCAGAACCUUACCAACACUUGACAUGUUCGUCGCGACUUUAAGAGAUUAAAGUUUUCGGUUCGGCCGGACGAAACACAGGUGCUGCAUGGCUGUCGUCAGCUCGUGUCGUGAGAUGUUGGGUUAAGUCCCGCAACGAGCGCAACCCUCACUUUUAGUUGCCAUCAUUUAGUUGGGCACUCUGAAAGAACUGCCAGUGAUAAGCUGGAGGAAGGUGGGGAUGACGUCAAGUCCUCAUGGCCCUUACGAGUUGGGCUACACACGUGCUACAAUGGCAUUUACAAUAGGAAGCAAGAUGGCGACGUCAAGCAAAUCCUAAAAAGAUGCCUCAGUUCGGAUUGUACUCUGCAACUCGAGUACAUGAAGCUGGAAUUACUAGUAAUCGCGGAUCAGCGCGCCGCGGUGAAUACGUUCCCGGGUCUUGUACACACCGCCCGUCACACCAUGGGAGUUGGUUCUACCUUAAGGCAAGGUUUCAAACCCUUGACCACGGUAUAGUCAGCGACUGGGGUGAAGUCGUAACAAGGUAA
Molecule: ribosomal RNA, 536 nt
Filed under: uncultured bacterium
Lineage: Bacteria
Description: bacterial SSU rRNA
Rfam family: Bacterial small subunit ribosomal RNA
Source: RNAcentral